AAAUGGCUGCAAAAUGUAUAUG
RNAcentral lists this non-coding RNA (22 nucleotides) under Arabidopsis thaliana (thale cress). The record is from RNAcentral. Lineage: Eukaryota; Viridiplantae; Streptophyta; Magnoliopsida; Brassicales; Brassicaceae.